AUUGAACGCUGGCGACAUGCCUUACACAUGCAAGUCGAACGGCAGCACGGGUGCUUGCACCUGGUGGCGAGUGGCGAACGGGUGAGUAAUACAUCGGAACAUGUCCUGUAGUGGGGGAUAGCCCGGCGAAAGCCGGAUUAAUACCGCAUACGAUCUACGGAUGAAAGCGGGGGACCUUCGGGCCUCGCGCUAUAGGGUUGGCCGAUGGCUGAUUAGCUAGUUGGUGGGGUAAAGGCCUACCAAGGCGACGAUCAGUAGCUGGUCUGAGAGGACGACCAGUCACACUGGGACUGAGACACGGCCCAGACUCCUACGGGAGGCAGCAGUGGGGAAUUUUGGACAAUGGGCGAAAGCCUGAUCCAGCAUGCCGCGUGUGUGAAGAAGGCCUUCGGGUUGUAAAGCACUUUUGUCCGGAAAGAAAUCCUUGGCCCUAAUACGGUCGGGGGAUGACGGUACCGGAAGAAUAAGCACCGGCUAACUACGUG
RNAcentral lists this ribosomal RNA (485 nucleotides) under uncultured bacterium. RNAcentral describes it as "partial 16S ribosomal RNA". It matches the Rfam family "Bacterial small subunit ribosomal RNA", at positions 30 to 507 of the family's 1533-position model. The record is from RNAcentral.